Molecule: ribosomal RNA, 465 nt
Filed under: uncultured bacterium
Lineage: Bacteria
Description: partial 16S ribosomal RNA
Rfam family: Bacterial small subunit ribosomal RNA
Source: RNAcentral
GACGAACGCUGGCGGCGUGCUUAACACAUGCAAGUCGAACGGAAAGGCCCUGCUUGCAGGGUACUCGAGUGGCGAACGGGUGAGUAACACGUGGGUGAUCUGCCCUGCACUUCGGGAUAAGCCUGGGAAACUGGGUCUAAUACCGGAUAGGAACCAUUUUUAGUGUGAUGGUUGGAAAGUUUUUUCGGUGUAGGAUGAGCUCGCGGCCUAUCAGCUUGUUGGUGGGGUAAUGGCCUACCAAGGCGGCGACGGGUAGCCGGCCUGAGAGGGUGGACGGCCACAUUGGGACUGAGAUACGGCCCAGACGCCUACGGGAGGCAGCAGUGGGGAAUAUUGCACAAUGGGCGCAAGCCUGAUGCAGCGACGCCGCGUGGGGGAUGACGGCCUUCGGGUUGUAAACUCCUUUCGCUAGGGACGAAGCUUUUUGUGACGGUACCUAGAUAAGAAGCACCGGCUAACUACGUG